RNAcentral lists this unclassified non-coding RNA (969 nucleotides) under Ooceraea biroi (clonal raider ant). RNAcentral's name for it is "uncharacterized LOC113562237, transcript variant X1". Lineage: Eukaryota; Metazoa; Arthropoda; Insecta; Hymenoptera; Formicidae. The record is from RNAcentral.
CAUGCAUUUUAUUAUAUUAUUUGCCGUGUAUUUCAUCUUUCAACUGUUCAACUAGUGUGAUAUAUAAUGUUCGUGUUUUUCAAAAAGUUGUCUAAGCGAACAAAGUUUCAAUCAAUAUCAUGUACGUGACUGUUUUCCUGAUUCCGCAAACGACAGUGCUGCAAUACAAAGUUGUUAUGCAAUCUCUUGCUUCGCUCUCUUAUUUUCACUGGAAACUUGUUAAUUGACAAUUGCCUUUCGAUUCAACGUCUCGCCGAGACCAGACGAUUUCAAUCGUCACAUUUCCUCUUUGUUACAUCAAUCAUUGAUGGAAACGCAACGAUCAUCUUCCGAUUACUGAUUAAUCUUGUGUCAUCUUAGGAUCCAUGAGAUGAACAUUCAAAGUGAAAAUAUUUUUGCUAACAUUUUAGUGAUUCAUCGAUCAAUUCUGGCAAUCAUCUCGAUGAUCAGAUGUUCACAUAAUCAUGUGAGACGUUACAACUUUCUAACUUUAAAUAUUUUUCACAUACUAGACACAGGGAUUAAUUUUGAACCGUAUAUCGGAGUCUGUGCAUAGCCAUUUUUUUCCUUCACUGUGCAAAUCCGCAAAGUGACCACACGUAUGGGUACCAGCAUUCUACUCCGUUCGCGUAUCACGUAUAUACGCACACCCACGCACGUGUACAUACACAGUACACACGCACACAUACGUAUAUCGGUGAUAUCACUCUCAUGUAACGAUCCAAUACAUUUUAAUCAUAUUCGAUUACAAGAUGUAAUGACGUAAGAAAAUAUUAAAGACAUGAUUUUCAAGAGCGAUACGCGCAUAUGCGCGCGUGCAUGUACACAUAUACAGGGUGCAAUUCGGAUCCCGAGCCCGUGCCUGAGCGUCUCUUAUAAACACUGCCUCGAAGGCUCAAAAGAAGAAAGUGGUGGUGAAGUGGUGGAUAAGGACGAGAUCCAGGAGUCGCGCAUAGUGUGGUAUAUCAC